Molecule: ribosomal RNA, 450 nt
Filed under: uncultured bacterium
Lineage: Bacteria
Description: partial 16S ribosomal RNA
Rfam family: Bacterial small subunit ribosomal RNA
Source: RNAcentral
CCUACGGGAGGCAGCAGUGGGGAAUUUUGGACAAUGGGGGCAACCCUGAUCCAGCCAUUCCGCGUGAGUGAAGAAGGCCUUCGGGUUGUAAAGCUCUUUCGCAAGGGAAGAAAACUUACUCAAUAACACUGGGUGAGGCUGACGGUACCUUGAUAAGAAGCACCGGCUAACUACGUGCCAGCAGCCGCGGUAAUACGUAGGGUGCGAGCUUUAAUCGGAAUUACUGGACGCAAAGCGGUAAGUGAGAGUUGAAAUCCCCGGGCUCAACCUGGGAACUGCGUUUGAAACUACAAGGCUAGAGUAUGGCAGAGGGGGGUAGAAUUCCACGUGUAGCAGUGAAAUGCGUAGAGAUGUGGAGGAAUACCAAUGGCGAAGGCAGCCCCCUGGGUCAAUACUGACGCUCAUGCACGAAAGCGUGGGGAGCAAACAGGAUUAGAUACCCGAGUAGUC